GCAGCCGCGGUAAUACGUAGGUGGCGAGCGUUAUCCGGAUUUACUGGGUGUAAAGGGUGUGUAGGCGGACUUGCAAGUCAGAUGUGAAACCGAUCGGCUCAACCGAUCGACUGCAUUUGAAACUGCAGGCCUUGAGAGUCGGAGAGGUAAGCGGAAUUCCCAGUGUAGCGGUGAAAUGCGUAGAUAUUGGGAGGAACACCAGUGGCGAAGGCGGCUUACUGGACGACAACUGACGCUGAGACACGAAAGCGUGGGGAGCAAACAGGAUUAGAUACCCC
Molecule: ribosomal RNA, 278 nt
Filed under: uncultured Prevotellaceae bacterium
Lineage: Bacteria; Pseudomonadati; Bacteroidota; Bacteroidia; Bacteroidales; Prevotellaceae
Description: partial 16S ribosomal RNA
Rfam family: Bacterial small subunit ribosomal RNA
Source: RNAcentral